AUAUUUUAAUACCGGUAGUGAAAAGUUCAUAGACAAGAGAUUUCACUACUGGCUUUCUUAAAUCAGUAGUGAAAAGUAAACACGGUGGCAAUGUCGUAAUUACAUUAAAAUUUGUUUUAAUUAUAUUUCACUACCGAUCUAGGAUUCACCGGUAGUGGAAUCCCUAUUAGUGUUAUUAAUUUUUUCAUAUUCUCAUUCAUUCCCAAUUAUCCCUAAUUUUGUUCAUUUGUUCAUACGUACGCGAAGAAGCUGCAACGAUCUAAACCUCCGAUCGUCCCAAUCAUCCCAGUUCCUCAAAUCGUCCCAAUUUCUUCAAAUCAAACACUCCUGCGCCAAAUCCCAAUCAUUCUCCAAUCUCUCCAUUCUCCAAUCUCCAAUUUCANN
This 384-nucleotide long non-coding RNA is filed under the name Trifolium pratense (red clover). RNAcentral describes it as "long non-coding RNA (TPRA_LNC000568)". The record is from RNAcentral. Lineage: Eukaryota; Viridiplantae; Streptophyta; Magnoliopsida; Fabales; Fabaceae.